RNAcentral lists this ribosomal RNA (328 nucleotides) under uncultured eukaryote. Its description in RNAcentral is "partial 18S ribosomal RNA". It matches the Rfam family "Eukaryotic small subunit ribosomal RNA", at positions 1470 to 1796 of the family's 1831-position model. The record is from RNAcentral.
CCCUUAGAUGUCCUGGGCCGCACGCGCGUUACACUGAUGCAUUCAACGAGCUUAUAACCUUGGCCGAGAGGCCUGGGCAAUCUUGUUAACGUGCAUCGUGAUAGGGAUAGAUUAUUGAAAUUAUUAAUCUUCAACGAGGAAUUCCUAGUAAGUAACAGUCAUCAACUGUUGUUGAUUACGUCCCUGCCCUUUGUACACACCGCCCGUCGCUACUACUGAUUGGGUGUUCAAGCGAGAUUCUUUGAUUUUAAGAUGAAUAAUUCGAACUUGUUUAGAUUUAAAGAAGAGUAUCAAGCUUCUGCAUUUAGAGGAAGUAAAAGUCGUAACA